Molecule: ribosomal RNA, 497 nt
Filed under: uncultured bacterium
Lineage: Bacteria
Description: partial 16S ribosomal RNA
Rfam family: Bacterial small subunit ribosomal RNA
Source: RNAcentral
GAUGAACGCUGGCGGCGUGCCUAAUACAUGCAAGUCGAGCGAACGGACGAGAAGCUUGCUUCUCUGAUGUUAGCGGCGGACGGGUGAGUAACACGUGGAUAACCUACCUAUAAGACUGGGAUAACUUCGGGAAACCGGAGCUAAUACCGGAUAAUAUUUUGAACCGCAUGGUUCAAAAGUGAAAGACGGUCUUGCUGUCACUUAUAGAUGGAUCCGCGCUGCAUUAGCUAGUUGGUAAGGUAACGGCUUACCAAGGCAACGAUGCAUAGCCGACCUGAGAGGGUGAUCGGCCACACUGGAACUGAGACACGGUCCAGACUCCUACGGGAGGCAGCAGUAGGGAAUCUUCCGCAAUGGGCGAAAGCCUGACGGAGCAACGCCGCGUGAGUGAUGAAGGUCUUCGGAUCGUAAAACUCUGUUAUUAGGGAAGAACAUAUGUGUAAGUAACUGUGCACAUCUUGACGGUACCUAAUUAGAAAGCCACGGCUAACUGCGUG